AUGACAGCUGGUUGUGAAACGUUGUGGCAGGCACGUUCUUGAUAACAAGUUGAUGAACAAGGAGGUAGAGCGGGUCAUCCACUGCUAGGAAGGUCAGCGCUUCUCCAGUUUGCAUGUUGAGAUGUCCGUGGCCAUGGCCAAAAGCCCUCCACAAUGUUAACUGUGUCUUCAUACUGACCCUCACAUACAACGGUCAGUACUACAGGCAGAAACAUGGCUGUGCCGUGGGUUCCCCAG
Long non-coding RNA from Pundamilia nyererei, 237 nucleotides. RefSeq lists it as uncharacterized. The transcript has 3 exons. NCBI's taxonomy places the organism in Eukaryota, Metazoa, Chordata, Actinopteri, Cichliformes, Cichlidae. The record is from RefSeq and is a predicted model, not a curated record.